RNAcentral lists this ribosomal RNA (1049 nucleotides) under Salmonella enterica. Its description in RNAcentral is "partial 23S ribosomal RNA". It matches the Rfam family "Bacterial large subunit ribosomal RNA", at positions 711 to 1757 of the family's 2925-position model. Lineage: Bacteria; Pseudomonadati; Pseudomonadota; Gammaproteobacteria; Enterobacterales; Enterobacteriaceae. RNAcentral also lists the same sequence under 2 other names. The record is from RNAcentral.
AGACCCGAAACCCGGUGAUCUAGCCAUGGGCAGGUUGAAGGUUGGGUAACACUAACUGGAGGACCGAACCGACUAAUGUUGAAAAAUUAGCGGAUGACCUGUGGCUGGGGGUGAAAGGCCAAUCAAACCGGGAGAUAGCUGGUUCUCCCCGAAAGCUAUUUAGGUAGCGCCUCGUGAAUUCAUCUCCGGGGGUAGAGCACUGUUUCGGCUAGGGGGCCAUCCCGGCUUACCAACCCGAUGCAAACUGCGAAUACCGGAGAAUGUUAUCACGGGAGACACACGGCGGGUGCUAACGUCCGUCGUGAAGAGGGAAACAACCCAGACCGCCAGCUAAGGUCCCAAAGUCAUGGUUAAGUGGGAAACGAUGUGGGAAGGCCCAGACAGCCAGGAUGUUGGCUUAGAAGCAGCCAUCAUUUAAAGAAAGCGUAAUAGCUCACUGGUCGAGUCGGCCUGCGCGGAAGAUGUAACGGGGCUAAACCAUGCACCGAAGCUGCGGCAGCGACGCUUAUGCGUUGUUGGGUAGGGGAGCGUUCUGUAAGCCUGUGAAGGUGGCCUGUGAGGGUUGCUGGAGGUAUCAGAAGUGCGAAUGCUGACAUAAGUAACGAUAAAGCGGGUGAAAAGCCCGCUCGCCGGAAGACCAAGGGUUCCUGUCCAACGUUAAUCGGGGCAGGGUGAGUCGACCCCUAAGGCGAGGCCGAAAGGCGUAGUCGAUGGGAAACGGGUUAAUAUUCCCGUACUUGGUGUUACUGCGAAGGGGGGACGGAGAAGGCUAUGUUGGCCGGGCGACGGUUGUCCCGGUUUAAGCGUGUAGGUGUGUGUUCCAGGUAAAUCCGGUUCACUUUAACACUGAGGCGUGAUGACGAGGCACUACGGUGCUGAAGUAACAAAUGCCCUGCUUCCAGGAAAAGCCUCUAAGCAUCAGGUAACAUCAAAUCGUACCCCAAACCGACACAGGUGGUCAGGUAGAGAAUACCAAGGCGCUUGAGAGAACUCGGGUGAAGGAACUAGGCAAAAUGGUGCCGUAACUUCGGGAGAAGGCACGCUGACAC